GGAGGCAACCCAAUGUUGUAAGUCUGCAUUUUAAUUUUUUUUUUCUGCUGUGUGAGUUUCUGCUAUGUUAAAUUUUGAAAAAAUUGGGUUCUGUUUUUUACCGUUCGCCCCGCGAACUGAAUUCACAGCUUCAGUUCGCGCCGCGAACAAGGUUCGCCCCGCGAACAGUGAAUGACAGAACCAAUUUUUCGUGACAUCAUGAACGUC
Molecule: long non-coding RNA, 207 nt
Filed under: Lathyrus oleraceus (garden pea)
Lineage: Eukaryota; Viridiplantae; Streptophyta; Magnoliopsida; Fabales; Fabaceae
Description: Pisum sativum (pea) long non-coding RNA (PSAT_LNC019056)
Source: RNAcentral